GACGGAAGAGAGGUGGGAACUCGAAGGCUAUCUCGUCGUUUUGGGUUGCUGGGUCCAUUUUCGACGAGGAAGUGAAGAACUGGUGAGAGGGAUUUUCUGGGUUCCUACGAGAGAGAGAGAGAGAGAGAGAGAGAGAGAGAGAGGUAGGUAGUAGUNNNNNNNNNNNNNNNNNNNNAGAGAGAGAGAGAGGGUGAUGUGAAUGCUUCAGGUGAUAAAAGGUGAUAAAAGGUGAUGCUAAAAAUGGGAAAGUGGUUUACCCGUCCAAAAUAUGGUAGUAUAUUUUAUUUUAUUUUUUAUGAAAAAUACUUAAAAUUAGAUAACCGAAUCUCUAGGUCAUCAAGAAUUUACAAUAUCAAAUACAAGAAUAUGAAUAGCCUCAAUAGGAACUCUAUUCACCCAAGUAUUAUCAUUGGGCAAAGAAUGAUCUAGGUAUACUAUUGUAUCAGCUACAAAAUUUACCUUCCUAAAAACAUGUCUAAAAGAGAUGGACACAAACUGAGUCGCUAAUGAUUUAAUAUCUUCUACUAUUUUGAUAAGUCUCCAAAGAAGAUCAAAGACCUCAUUAACUGCAUCAAUGACUAGCUUGGAGUCUCUACUAAAAUAUGGUAGUAUAUGGCUUAUCUUCUUCUCCAAUAGUUUGGUGGGCAUGCACCAUUUCACCUCCAUAUUUAUCCUAUCUGUUUUUUUUUUUUUUUUUUCCUUCUCAAAGAAGGAUAUUUAUCCUAUCAGUUUUGUUCAUACAUGUAUCUUGGGAUGCAAUACCCCAAGUCCCCAACUCACUACUAGGAAAAAAGAAGAGGGUCAUGAAAGACAUAAUGUAAUAGUAACGUCGUUACAUUGUUCAAAGUGAGGGCCGAAGUGGCUUCAUUAGCUUGUGAAGUUUAGUUGCGUAAUGAUCUUAAAAGAAUCACUCUGUUGGUACAGUUUUGUAGAUUGUUGAUCCACAACUCAUUAGAUGAUCUUGUUAAUUUUUUUUUUGUCAAAUUUGAAUUUGACAUCUUACAUGGCAAAUGAUAUUUUGCUACAAUUUCUCCUCCAACCAAGAUGUCAAAUAUAUGUAUUAUUGUAUCAAGGGAGAAGGAAGAGAGAGAAAUAACAAUAAAGAAAAAAAAGAACCAUUCUCAUGGGCUGUGUCAAACUUGACAAUGUAUCUGAAAAAUGUCAUCCAUGUGGAUUUGAUACUUUGGUUGGAAAAGAUUACAUCAGUCAAUUAUUACCGUUGCUCUGUCACCUGGCAAAUGACUUGAUCAUUGGAGAUGCUCUUAUAACCCUUUCAUUAUAAAAGAAGUUCUUUUGAUGAAAAUAAGUAACAAUUGCAGUUUUGGUUUUUUUUUUUUUUUUUUUGUUUGUUGUUGAAAAGAAAUGUGAACCAUUAAGUUACGUUUGAUCGGUUAUUGUCUCUUUUUCAGUAGUGUUGCAAGGUCACAAUCAAUCUCUUGGACAACAGUCUGGGGAGCGUAUAGCUGAACAUGUAAGUACGUGGAAACUAAUAAUAUUGUCACUAGGAAUUCCACAUUUCCCACCACUAUAUUUUCUGAGACAAAAUAGAACUAUAUAGGGGAUAAUUUCCUUCCAGCUUUCUGCUUCUUUCCUCUAGGUUUCCUUUUGACUCGGAGUUCACACGACAAUGCCAUAUUUAUAGAAGGCAGGCAACCAGAACAGAGUUCAGUUAUGAUAAGAAGAAGCAAAUUAACAAGGAGCAUGAAGAUGGAGAGCCAAGAAGCUAAUUGUGUGAUUGAGAUCCCCCCUGCUUCUUCUUUUUCUUCCGAGAGGGCUUUGGAGAAUUGGAGGAAGCUAUCUGCUGCCCUCAAGAACCCUAAGAAGCGAGGGUUUCUCUUCAACCCCGCAGCUCGCUCCCGUUGGGUCUGCACCUCUGUUCCUCCCCAUAUUCAUCUUGAGUGUCUUUAAGUUCACGGCACAUUACAUUUCGGUUUCGAAUUAUGAUUUACCAGAGCUUAAAUUUAUCAUUGCUCCUUAUAUAUGCAUUGUGUUUUACUAUUGUAGAUGAAGCAGCAGGAAGAACACGUUCAGACCGCAAUGCAAUUAGUGAAUUCUCACCGUGAUCGGUUGUCUAACAGCAAGUUGCCUUUGCUUGGCACUAGUUCCGGUGAUGAGUCAAGGCAUACAACAAAGGUGUAUAGUGAUCUCAAUCCAUGCCAUAACCUUUUAUGCUGAACAUGUUUAUUUAGCAACUUGUCUUCAGUUGAAAGUUGAAACUAUGAUAAUUUACCAAGGAUUUCAUAUUUUACUGCAUGUAGGCUUCUUCAACAGUAUGGGUCUUUUUACUCACGAACCUCUGCCUAGAGACAUUAUCAGCCAUCUUUGAUCAAAUUGCCUCUCCAAGCAAGCCUGACUAUGCCCUAUUUGGAAUGGUGUUGGCCAUUUCAGCUGUGCUCACUUGCAUCGUGGAGCUCAUUCACAAGGGUAAAAAGGAAGGAGUUGAACUAAAAAGAUGGGGAAAGUUAUGCUGGUUUUAUUAUCCACCUCCCAAUGGCUCACUUUUUGGUACUUUCCCAGAUAUUUGUGGAUUAGUCAUUGCCAUUUCACAGUAUAUUUGCUCUACUCUUCAGUAUGUUUAUCUCUGUAGGCAUGUUAAUAACCCUAUCAAACUCUCCGUUUUGCCGGCAAUCUUUCUUAUUUGCUUGGCUGGUUCAACACUAAUUAGGAACAGAAGCUACACCACAGAUGAGACCUUGAAACAUGCUACUCAUCAUCUUACAAAGACUAAUUAUCUCUGUAGAUUUUGGCAUUCCGUUUAGUACGUUUUAGUUUGUACCAGUCUUAAUUCGCACAGAUUAAUAUAUGUCCACAACCAUCUCUUCAGGUUAUCGUUGUAGAUUGUGGUAGGGGAGACCAAGUAGCUCGGAUGAAGUAUUCAAUUAUCUAUGUAUCUAAUGUAAAGCAAUUUAUCAGUUUAGCUUAAUUAGUAGAGGCUUUGUCAGUGUACUCCAUGCAAAACUUUUGACGGGAGAAAGAGACGAGAGUAAAUGAGGGGCAACAGGUCAAAACGGGUGUAGAAAUCUCCAAAAUACAGGGAAGGGAGGAAUCAUCAGAAUAUCUUCUGCUGAAACACCAAAGACCCUAUGAAUGCCUAGAAGGUUGGCCUUAAAAGUGACAUUCAAGAAGAGCCAGAGCCAGAGCUACUGCCCUUCUGUACCUUUUUUUCACCUACAAUGUAUUAUCUCUGUCUCCAAAAAAUGCAGUAUAUCAACCAAAAUAGAAAGACAAGAAUAUCGAUAGCAAAGGUUGGCAGCGCGCAUGACACGAAAUAUCAACAAAACAAAGUAAUAUACUACAGUAUUUUCUGCAUACAAACCAUUAGCUAGUUCACAUUGGCCACGAGUAAGUACGGUUAUAAUCCCACUACUUCCAGAAAAACUCCUGUUUAGCACUACCAAGUGAAGCAAAAAUACGAAUAUCAUGGUCUUAUGCUGGAUGAUGUGCCCAUCAACCAGAUGUGAAGUUUUCUAGUAAUAGACUAGUAGGGCAUAAUGAAAAGCCUUCUAACAGUAGGGCAUGUAUCCUGCUGGCCUUCUGAACCUUGGAACGUUCCUGCAGAGUAUUUGAAAGUGCAAAAUGAUAAUAUGCAUAAAAAAUAUCACUUGACUAAGAAAAAGCAAAGUAAGAACACCAUACCCAUAUCCAUAGCGCGAAUAGAAGUAACAGGGUACAUAAGGCCCCCUGAAGCAGUUACCCAUAUACAGAUUGUAAGUCCAGGGCGGAAUUGCUUGUAUCCGGGAACGUUGGUCCUUUUAGGCAAAACAUAAUGAUAUAUUACACAAUUAACAAACAUAUGCGAUAAUGAUAUAACAGAAAGCAAUAUUCAAGACCAAUAAUCUAACUAGUAACUGGUGUUGAUGUACUUCUUACUUCUCCGGUUGUUUCAAUAGAUUCACACAACAACAAUAAACAAGGAGCAGAGAGCAAAUAGAGGAUUACCUUCAAUGGCCUUCCAUGCAACUCAGAUUCAUUCAGAGCGAGAGCCUCUUGAACAGCUUCUGCUUCCGGGAAUUCCGCAUAAGCAAAACCCUUUGGUUGGCCACAUUUAUCUGUCAGCAUAAUCACCCUGUUAACUGUGCGAUAUGAUUCAAAAUGCUGCUGUACUUCUUCAGUUGUGCAUGCAUAAGCAACCUGAAAAACAUGAUUUCAUCCGGUUUGAAGCCAGAGUCAGCGGAAGAGACAACAUACAACACAACAUAUGGAAAAAGAAGUGCAUUCUUAACAAGAAGAAAUACCAGAUUUAGGUUGAGUUUUGGGACAGCAUAAAAAACUGUUUACUGUAGUGUUGAAGUAGGUAAAAAAACAGAAACUAUCAUUAACAUGUGUCAAUCAAGCUGGAAAAAGUUCAUUUAUACCUAAUGCACAGCCAACAGAUACACACAGAUAUAAAUUUACAAGAAAAAGGAGAACCUUUUCAAAAUUCAUUUCCCUUUUGAGCUUAUGAAAACCUAUUCGAAUGAUUAUCAUUCUACUACUAGUACCUUCUAUUCUAGACAGCCUCACCGCCCUCAUUCACUUAACCAACAUGAUUUAAUCCAUUAGGCCAGCAAAAUACUAGUACAUUCUCACUGUUACUCUAAAUUGGUACACUAGGGAAUUUUUCCAAUAGUUCUUAUUGCUUCAACUCAAAACACUGUUAUUGAAGAGUAGAAAACACAAGAUUGAAACAAUAGAACCGUCACAACAUCAAAACUAUAGAACCCUCACAACAUCAAAUCUAUAGAACACCCUCACACCAUCAAAACAAUCCCUGAACAAAUUGAAUCCGCCCUGAAAAAAUCAAAGCAAAGAGAAGCCAAAGAACAGUAUAAAAGAAACUCAUACCCAGACUCUUGACUGCCCAUUCCAAGUCUGCUGAAAGCCAUCGUCGGCAUCCAUGGCUGCUCCGUCCAACCUGUAACAGAACCAGAAAGAUUACCAAAUGUAAAAACUGAAAGAAAGAAAAAAAACGGAGAAAGAAAUAGGAGGGAGGCGGCUGAGGGAGAGAGAAGCAGGAUUCCGGCGAGGCGAACAAGAAUCUGGCCGGAAAACAGAGCACCCCAGGGCCUGAUAAUGAAAAGAUCACAGAGAUUGUGAUAGAAGAAGAUUUCAAGAAAUCGAAAGAGAAUUAGAGAGAGGCGGAGGGAGAGGGAUGAGUUCAGAAGACAGGAACGCAGUAAACCCUAGGACGACGAUGAGGAUCUUCUUCUUCGUGGUGAAGCCAGGAUCACCGCGACGACGAGCGCGAGCGAGAGCGCGACGCCUACGGCUUGCUUCGACCUCGGCACAUAACUUUUCUGAGCUUUUCCGACUAUUUUCCAGUGCUUUUCCACAGUGAAUCUUUUCCUUUCUGGACGGCGCAAAGAUAGCUGCCUUUUCCAAAGAACCAAAAUUGAACGCAGUGGGGGAGGCUGGGAGAGUGAGUGAAGAGGAAGAGGAAGAGAGGGAGGGAGAGAAUUAAAGAAACAGAGGGAGGGUUAAUUCGGUUUAUAUAGUCCCCCACUCAACAGCGUGUUUGAUUUGUCUUUUCGAACUUAUCAUUAAUUUUUUUCCACACGCAUUUCUCAAAUUACAUUAAAGUCUCGUUUAGUUGACUCAAAGUAAUUCUAUUGAUAAAAAGCAAAAACCAUUUUGGGUAAUUCGAAUGAAGCGCCUUGGUCUUUUCGGAGGGGUCUCGAUUUGCGAAACCGAGGUUUCGUCUGGCGGCUCAGGUGUUCUUCUCUCAGACAAGACGACGGUGAUAAUGAUCUGGUUUGUAACGAAUGCGUGGGGGAAAUGCUUGAUCGUGCUUGUCGCAGGAGGAUUUCUAGGGUCUUCUCAGACCAGGGAUAUGUUUGGUGGUUUCGGUUAGGGCUGGGCAUGGGACGGGAUUGGACGAGAUUUGGUGAAUCUCGUCCCGUCCCGAAAAUAAAAGAACGGGACGGUAUGGGAUGUCAUUUUUAAGAAUUGAUCCCGUCCCGAUAUAAUAGCCAAAAAUGAAAAUCAUCCAAAAAUAUUAAAAAUUAAUAAAAUAAAUAAAAGAAAAAGUAAUUAAUGUUCAUAAUAAUACAGAUUAAAAAAACUCUUAACAUUGUUAAUUCCUCAAUUUAGUUAUUUCCCAAAAUAUCUAUAAAGUCCUUUGAUUUUUCCUCGUAUUAUGAAAAAUUAAAGAAACUCUUAACAAAUUAAAAAAACUCUUAAUAACAAAACCCUAUAUAAAGUAACAAAUUAUCAAUAAAUAAAUAUUGUUCAUUUAUCGAUAAUAUAAUAACCUCUUUAAUUUUCAUGUUCCUAACAUUAUUUAUUUAUAGAGGUUUUAUUGUAGAUAUAAUAGAAAUGUUGUAAGUGUCCUUAUGAGGGUGAGGCCAAAUAAGGAGUGCAUGAAAUAGAAGUGUGUCCUUGAGAAAUCAUAUGAGAGGUGUCAUUGAUUUCAUAUAACCUAAGAAAUAGACGUAUAUGAUCUGAUACAACUUAUGAAAUGGACGUAUAUGAUCUAAUAAAACAUAAAAAAUAAGAUAAUUUAAUAUCGCGGGACGGGAUAGGAUUUUUCGAGAUAGUCCCAAUCUCGUCCUGUCCCGUUUCAAAAUUCAAUAACGGGACGGGACGGUACGGUAUAUGCAUUUUUAAAACUCUAUCUCGCUAACUUUCGGUACAGGACCGGGAUUCCGAUACUAAGUGCCCAGCCCUAGUUUCGGUGGCUACAGGUUUUCAAGGAUUGGAUCUCUCGUGAGUCGGGAGGCUUGUCUCGAGGCAGGAGAUUUAUGGCAGUCCAGGGAUCGUGGCAGGCAAACAGAGGUUAGUCUUUCAGCCAGGUUUGGAGAUGGUGGUCACGGGUCAAGCCAUAUCGGAUCAACUAAAAUCGGAUCUCGAUUUGAGGUUGAAGGUGCCGGCUUCGAAGGCGUCGUCAACGGUCAUAGGAGUUGGUGAAGUGGAUGGGUCGGAGAUCGUGAGUGGACCUGUGUAACAUCCCGGACCUAAUUUUACCCCUUUUACUGGGUAUCUUACGAGUUACUGAGGAAGUUAGCCAUGCUUGGUAAUUUGGUAAUUUAACACCCGAAUUUAUUGUCGAGUUUUUCUUAAAAUGUUAAAUUCUUCUAUUAAGGUUUCGAGGGUGUAGUGCGCGAUGGCACGAGUUCUCCAUUAUCAUCGGAUUAUUUUUGGGAGCUUCGAACUAUUUUUACGAUUUAUAAAAAAUCUGGGUCGCUGAUCUUUAAUCAUCGAUCACUUGUUGUCCAUUUCUGUUGUUAAAUAGAGGAAGAUUGGUCAGACCCAAUCAAAAUGCCCAAGUCGGGUUUGACCGAGCCCAACCGAAUCUCUCUCCUCUCCCCGACUCUCUCUGUGUCCGUCGUCGUCUCUCGCCAGAGCAGCGCCGUCCGGCCACCCCUUGGCGACGAGACUGCCACCAAGUGGUCCUCUCCUCCUUCCCGACCUAGCUCAACUCUCAAAUCCGGGAGGCAUCCAUUCUCGGCGGAGAUCGGAAGAGGAGGACAACGGCUGUUCUUCCCAAAUUCCGGUGGGUUCCGGCAACGAAUCGACAGACCAAGGUCAGAUUCUUAUUCUCCUUCCUCUCCUCUUCUUUUUUGGGUUUGUUUCAUCCCGAAUCGAGUUCUAAACUGCAAAGCCCUUUUCUGCCUUUUUCUGGGUUUCUGGUUCCUCGCUCCGGCGACCUACGUUCAAUGGAUUUUCGGUGAGCUCUUCAAUGUUUCGAUGGGUUCUGUGAGCUUGUGUGAAGUCAGGAUGGACCUUGGAGCGGUUGCUUGUUGGUCCGGGCUGAGGCAGAGGUCGGGUGAGUUAAGACUGAGAGGAACCGAAGUGUGGGGUGUUGUUUUGGUGGAGUUGGCGACCGAGACAGCAAAUAUAAAUGGUUAGAGGUUUCUGCAGGUUGGGAUCCGGCAAGAGAGCAGCUAGACUAGAGUUAUGGGAUUGACUGAAGGUAAACUCGAUCUCCUCUAGUAUUUUGGAGCUACUGUGUUGUUGUUGUUGUUGGUUGGUGUUUGAAUCAUUUAUUUUCUGCAUGAUUGUCGAUAACUUGAAGAUUGGAAGAUGUAGGGAGAUUAUGGUGAAAAUUUCGGCAAGUCACCGGAAUCCGACCAGUAUUUCUGGCAAGUCGUCGGAAUCCCAGCAAUUCCGGCAGAAUCCGUGAAGGUUGCUUGUCGACUUUUUUUUUCGUGUAAGUGGUAGUUUACGGUUUAGGAAAACCUGCCAUAUUUAGAAAGUCUCUUUUUAGGGAACUUUCCCCUUUAUGGAAACUUUCAUUCUUGGAAACCCUUUUGGGUGCCCUUAGUAAUUGUUAGUGUGAAGUUGGGUAGAAAAGAAAUGUUGGAAUUGUUGGUUCUAGUUGGCUUGAGCUAGGGGACCAUAAAAUAAUUUUUGUUAAUAUGAUUACUACCCAUAGUAACCCUAAAAUCUAGACCAUUGGCUUCAUGGUGAUUUUGGAAGUGAAUUGCUUAGUGUGAUAAAGGCAUGGAAAUUGUUUGUGACUUUGAUUACCGGCUAAGGUUUGGUUUGGGACUGAAGGAGUUAUAGUUGUGAAGUUAAUCGAAAUGAUUAAUAAUUUCUGUUUGUCAAACGUGGGUCAAGCCUGGUCAAUUUCUGGUCAACGUAAGAGAUUCUAAUCGAACUAGGAAGAAGUUGAAUAGUUAAUUUUUAUGGGGUCUGGUCUGACCGAUUUGUUCUUCUGUUUAUUAUCAGACGUGGGUUUUGGCUAUAGAGUGAAUAUUUGGAGGCUGCGCUCGAGGAGUAUUCCGAGCAUUGGAAGGCUUAGGCCUCAUACUGUGAGUGGACUUUUGUUUUAAAUAAUAAGCAUGCUAUGGUUCAUGGUUGAACAUUUAAAUUGUUGGAGUUUUGACGACAUUUAAUUUUGACAUUUUUAUUUCUUUUGGAGAGUUACCGAAAAAUGAGAUUUUUCGGUGAGUAUAAAUAUGUAUAUUGAGGAGAGUAUGUAUAUAAAUGCUAGCUAGCAAUGUGUGUCUGUCCACCUUAAUGGCGUAGCAUAUAGUCGCAUUAUGGUGUGACGUGAGUGUUGGACGUGAGCGUAGUAGCCCUAUAUGAGUGUUUAAUUCAUAUAGGGGCUAUGGACACAUAUUUAUACACCCGUCUGUCCACCUUAAUGGCGUAGUGUAGCACUGCAUUAAGGCGUGACGUGAGUGUUGGACGCGAGCGUAGUAGCCCUAUAUAGACCCAUGAAUUUAUAUAGGGAGUAUGGACAUGUGUAAAUACAUACAUAUAUUAUAGAGCCUGAGAGGCUCGACAUUUAUGAGAUAAAAGUUUUAUCGCUUGCAGCAUGCAUUCGAUUUUCCUUGAAAAUUGUUUUGGGGAAACAAAUAUUUUAUUCGUUAAUUUAUUUUUGUCCACUCACUCUAACGUUUCGUUUUCAAAUGUUUUCCCCUGGGCUCUUCGUUUUAAAAAUGCCCAGUUUGCAGGAUUGCAUAGUUGUGGUCGGACGUAUUUGGAGAAGAGGCAUAGUCAAUAGUGCAGCUUCCGCUCAUUUUUAUAUUUCUAGUUCAUUUCCUUUCAAAUAGAGUUGCUCUGAACUGUGGCUGUUGGCUAUGAGAUUAUCUUGUUUAAGUUGGUAAUUAAAUUGGGAGAUGUUGUGAUUUGGGGAGCACGAAGGCUCCAGGAGUUUAAGGUUGGAUUUGGAUUUUUUAGAAGUGUUUGCAGGUAUUUAUUAGGAAGGGUUGUCCAUUUUCAAAGGAGGUUAUGCCGAUUUUUCGGUAAACUUUCCUUGGAGGUGGUUCCCGCAAGACUUAUUUCGGGUUUCAGGGUGAAAUUCGGGGUGGGUCUUGACAACCUGCAUAUUAUAGGCCUGCCUUGUUGGGCUUAGAAGGUGAUAGGGUUGACUGACGUGGUUGUUGAGGUUGGGCAUGUGUCAAUUAGGCUUGCUUUCAAUUUCCUUGGUUUUUGCUGCUGUUGGUGCGUGCGGUGUCAAGGGCAAGGGUGCGACAUAGAUAUCAUGUGUUGUAGUCUGAGCAUUAGAUUGAAUUUAGUUACUUGAUUUCUAGUAUGCUAAGUGUACACGAAUUGAGGUCUUAUGCAACUAGUUUACUAUUUUCAAGGAAUUAAGUAAUGAGAUUUUUACUUCUUUUGAUGCAGGCUCUUUAUGAGCCUAAUUGUACAAGAAUGAAGAUACUGGUCAUUAGAGGUGGCAAACGGGCCGGCCAGUCUAAUCGGGUUUCGAGCCAUGUUUGGGCAUGCCCAUGACGGGCCACUUCUUAACGGGCUCGGGCUUGGGCCGGCCCAUUUACUCAAAUGUAAGGCCCAGCCCGACCCAUGGCCCAAGCCCAUACCAUGGUGGGCUGGGCCCAUGAACAGGCCGUGUCGGGCCCGUUUCGUGCCGAAAAUUAAAAAUAGUCGAGAUGAAUGUCCUAUACCACCGCUUCUACUCUCAUAAUCUCAACUUUUAAUUAUACAUGAUACGAUUACAAACCAAAACUAAUUCACGCAAUCUAUCAAUCAUUUUUUUAUUUGUCAACAACUAAAGAAAUAAGUGAUAAAUACUUAUUGUUCACAAUUAAUAAAUUUUUAGGCAAAAACGUCUUACGAGUCUAAAGGAAUCUAAAUUCAUACUCAAAUAAAUAAUUAUUAGUAUAUAAAUUUAUUGUUCACACUCAAAACUAAAUUUAUUAUUUAUAAAUAUGUUAUCUUCAUAUUAGAAAUGGAAAAAAAUUAUAUUUUAUAGCGGGCCGGGCCGGGCAGUGGGCCUUAAAUUAUCGUGCUCGGGCCGGGCCGGGCCCAUGGCUCAUUUUUUUAGACCCAGCCCGACCCAUUAGAAUAACGUGCUUGGACCGGGCCGGGCCGUUAACGGGCUUGGGCCGUGCCGGGCCUUUUUAAACGUGUCGUGCUCGUACUGUACCCGUGCUUUGCAGCCCAUUUGCCACCUCUACUGGUCAUGGUGCUUGUAGGUCUCUAUCGACAGAUUAUGUAGAGACACGCAUAUGAUGUAAUGUGAUUUCUAGCCAUUGUUUGAGCAAUAUAAUUUCCUUUACUAAAACAAACAUUAAUUAUCGAUAAUAGAAAAUUUCUCACUUCUUAUGGUUCGUUGACCACUAAAAAAUUGUUGAUUUAAGUUGAUUGAGAUAGUUCUCCUCUCUCUCUCUCUNNUCUCUCUNUCUCUCUCUCUCUCUCUCUCUCUCUCUCUCUCUCUCUCUCACCCUAAGCCUCUUCCUCACAAUCUGAUGGUUGCGGCAGUGGCAGUGGCGGAUUCGUUGAUGAAAGUCCCGGCUGGAUUCAUGCAACGUUGUGGUCGUGGCCAUCUCUCCUAUCUCUUCCUUCUUCUCUCGAGAUUUUGGUAGGGGUGAGGAAGACUCAUCGUGGGUUCAGGAUUUCUAAUCCUUUGUAGGCACAGUCGAGGCAUCAGGCAAUGACGAUGAUAACGACGACCCGUGACGAUAAGAUGAUUGGUCGACUCGACCUGGUAUUUUCGUGGAUCAGAUCCGAAUGACGGUUGUGAUUUGUAAUGGAUGGUGUCGUGGUUGAUAUUGUGGCUUCUCUCUUUAGUGAUGACGACGUCGGUAGUGCUAGUGUUGGUGGCUUGGACAACAACAUCGUGGAGCUACCUGCGACCGCACAGAGUGUUGGUUUCUUGGCAGUAAUUGUGUUGGGGUUGGUGGCUUCAGUGGCUCUCGGGGCAGUGGGGAGGAUAGCUGGACUCGAGGUUUGUGAUUGAGAACAUGGCUACUCGUCCAAUCGGUGAUGGAGACCUUAUUGGCAAAUGGCAAUGACGACAGUAAGGUCUGUGGUGGUGGUCAACAAUAGAUGGGAUGUGGGGAUCGAAGGCGGUAGAGAUGUCAAGGUAAUGUUUAGGGUGCCCAAGCAUUUGGGUGCCUAUGUAUUUUGGUGCCCUAAGCUAUAAGAGCUAGCUUUGGACCUAGGUUCCCAUCCUCAGUAGGGUUUGGGGUUGUGGGCUGGUAAGGAAUUUGCAUUGUUGGGCUUAUGCUUCAACUGUGUUGGUGUCAAGAUAGUCUGCUAGCUCCAAUAUCUGUUUUCAGGGAGACCCUAUCUAUAGGGUGGUUCCGGCGUCAUGAAUAAGUUAGGUUUGCUCAGCAUGUUUAGUUUUCAUUUUCCUGUUUAAUUCCCUUUUCCCUCGACGUCAUUUUUUUUUUUCAAAUUUGGAUGCAAAGUCAUUUUAUUGAUCAAAGAUAAAGUAAUAAUACAACAUAAACAUAAAUUAAUCUUAAUUCUCAAAAAAAUAUAGUUCAUGUAUUGUUUUUAAAAUUUACUCUAAACAUAAUCCACGCACGAGUUAUCUAAGUAUCAAAUUUUCUAUUAAGUUAUCUAAGUAUCAAACAUAAUCCACGCACGACUUAAACUAUAAAAGCUUAAGUCAUCUCAAUAGGGUAUUGCUAUUAACACCUUUUUUUCUAUUAACAUACCUCAUCUAUUUUCAUAUCCAUAUAUACUUUUUUUAUUUUAUUUACAAACUUAUCACUUGAAUUUGAUUGAUGAUUGAUUCUCAUCAUAUAGGGGUGUUAAUACUUUUUUUCUAUUAACACACCCCAUCUAUUUUCAUAUCCAUACUUUUUUAUUUUAUUUACAAACUUGUCACUUGAAUUUAAUUGGAGACAAGCUAUGGUACUGAGAUGUAUAUCAUACUUUUAUUUUACAUGUACUUGAACAAAAAUUACAAUGUUAUGAAUCAAAUUACAACAUUGAGAACAAAUUUACCAAAUUUAUUUACACUAUUUACAUGAAGUUAAACAAAAUUACAACUAUGAGAACAAUUUGUUCAAAAAGUUGUAAAAUGGUUGUACAUUUUGUAAUUACAAUUAUUAGAAUAAGAUUACAAACAAUACGACUCAGCAUUACCAUUUUGACUACAAAUAUGUUGUCACAUUUGUAAAUGUGGGUAUCACAUAUAGGUAGGUACCAUAGAAUUUCCCUAUAUUUAAUUAAUGAUUGGUUCUCACCAUAUCUAUUUACAUAUCCAUACUUUUUUAUUUUAUUUACAAACUUGUCACUUAAAUCCUCUUAAUAUUGCAAACGAUAAAAAAUGUAUUAUGAUUAAUAAAUCGUAAUUGUCAGAAUCAUCAGACUUAUUUAUAAAAUACUUAGAGGUAACACUACUCUAAGGAAUGCUCCUCCGAGUCAAAGCCAGGAGAUGUCAUUAAAACCUCCUAGAAAGCAAAUUAACCUACAUAAUCUUAAGCAUGGAAGAUUAUAACACUUUGAUUUGAGGUCUAAGACCUUAAGGUGUACAUUUCCUUCAAAGUGCAUAAACAAAACCACUCAAGGUUAUGUAAGGGUCUUUCCUGGUGAGAGUAGGAAACUAGUCCGUCCUGCCUCCACCUCGAGGUCGCUUGUUUCUCCACUCGAUUUAGGUCAAAACUGCAACAACACCGGUUUGAGCUUCUUGUUCCUACUGCUGGCCAUGAGGCCGGGCUCGUUUCUUCAGGGAUUUUUCAAUCUUGAACACCCCUAGCUCGUCAUUAGCUCCAACAGAAAACCCUAAUUCCUCAGGGGCCAAGGGGAGAGUAACCAAGGCGAGUGCAUGGCGUGGUUUUUUUCCCACCUCUUGGUCAACCUCUCCUCUCUGUUGCUUUGCACACUGGCGACUUUUGCUGGAGAUGGGAAGGGUUCCACCUCUCUAAUCUGUACUUGCCAGCGCUCUUUGGCGAAGAGAGGUGCCAAAGACAUUAUUGACAAUAGCCCCAGCAUCAUCUUCUAUGGGAGCUUGGGUGAAAUUUUGAUAUGGUGAAGCUAAUGUUUCCUUGAGAAUAGUAUUGACGAUAACCCCAACAUCAUAUUGAAUGGAGCUUGGGUGAAAACUUUGAUUUGGUGUCAGUGAGCCGUUGCCUGGUUGGUUAAGGAUGUUAACUAAUAACUUUGAGGCCAUGGGUUCAAACCUCACUGACAUAUGUAGGGUGCGUGAGUUAUUUAAUACAAGUUUUUUUUUUAAAACUUUGAUUUGGUGAAGCUACUAUUUCCUCCAAAAUAUUAUUGACAAGAGCACCAAAUACAUCACUUUGAAUGGGAGGUUGAGUGAAAGUUGCAUUAGGAAGAGCUACGUGAUAAUUAUUAAUAGCAAUAUCAUUAUCAAUAACAUUGAUGACAUGUGUCACCGAGCGGCCUUUUUGAGCUUCUUUCUCCUUCAAUUUAUUCUUUAUACAGUAUUCCUGAUGAAUCAUAAUACGUUUCGCUAAAAGUUCCUUGGAGUACUUGAGUUGCCUGCAACUCUUCCUCUCAUGUCCAAUUAAACCACAAUUAGAGGGCAGCUCUUCCUCUCAUGUCCAAUUAAACCACAAUUAGAGCAUUGAAGAGGUAGGUUCUCAUACUCUAUACCUACUGGAAAACAGAGGCCAUGUCUUUCAACCAUGAUGGACGUUGGAAGAGCAAUAGUUGUGGGUGCAAGUACUCUUGACUAAGCCCUAUAGCCCAUAUUUCAUAUUUGUGCAUGUAAUUGAGGAAGAACAUCACCAGGUCUAAAUUCAGACUUCCACUGAGAAAGACGAAUAUUCCAUGUUCAAUAGUGCAAGUCCCAUCCCCCCCCAAACCUUGCGCAUAUCAUAUUCGGAAUUGAAGUGUACGUAUGUCGAAAAAAAACCUUUGCCAAUCGGGACAAGAGGCCAUGGACCCGAUGGACCCCAAAGAGCAUCCAAAGAAGCUUUUAGGGAUUCAGUUUUCAAUAGAAUGGAUCCCUUACAGAGAAGCAAUCGGCCGAUAAGGUUAUUUCGGCAAGCUGCUAAUUGUUCUUGGUAGAUCGUCUCAUUGAUUUUCACGUAGAUUGUGUCUCCACGAAUUGUUGGUCCGGGGCUACUAGUUGACUUAUAGGAACAAAGUUUUCCUUUGAGUCUGCUACAAUAUAAGCGAAGUUCUUUGCCUUACUAAUUCUAAGAUCCAAUGUAGAGGAGGGAGAAGGUGUUCGGCCUGUUAGAGUUUAGCGCAAGAAAACUCCAUGGCAUGCUGGAGGCUCUCCCGUGGCGGAGGUCUGGUGCCCAAACCCUAGGUCGCACUUUGGAAAGCGCAUGUCAAACCAUGUUUCAAUAGUUUGUUGUCUCCAUCGAUCAGAUCUGAAGAUGUCUCAUUCUAUAAAAUUUCGCAAAGUCUAAUAUUAUUUUCACAUUAAUUUCAAGUUUGGUUGAUUUUUGUGACUUGUGAUUCUUAUAAUUCACCCAUACCAAUUUUCUUCUUCGUUCUUAUAUAUUUGUUUCAUGUGUCGUUGAUGCUAAUUAAUAAAUCCUUGAUGAUGCUUUGAUUCCUAGUUUCCUACUGCAUCAUUUGUAAACAUUAUUUUUUCGUUUUAAUUUCUUUGUAUCUUAUUAUCUUACUACUUGGUUUAAGUCUUAGCUUGCGUCGUAUGAGAAAAAUUCUUAGAUCCGCCAUUGACGUCCUCAUUAACCCUUGGCUUUAUAGUAGAGAUGAGCUAAUAACGUAUUUAGUGAUAAUUUUGUAUUUUUAUUAAUGACAUUUUUUUAUGAGGAAACCUGCUCAAGGUUGUUUACGUACAGUCGAAUUAAUAUAAUAGUUUUGGUACAUUUAACUGCAUUUUGAAAUACCCAAGCGGAUUUUUUUUUUGGAGCACCUAAGCGAGAUUGAUUUCUUGGAGAGUGAGACUUCCUAUUAAUCCUGCUUGGAUAUUGAUAAACAUAGCCAUCUAUAAGUACAAAUGUCCCAUUUCAGAUUUUGCAUAAACAAAUUAAUCAAGGAUAUAUGGCCAUGCUCUCUCUAUAUUUGUCUUACAAUAACCUGGGAAACUACCCUCCGCCGGUUCAACAGGUCUGUUUCCUUCAAGCAAUUACAUGAACACAAAAUAUCUGCAGGCAAGGAAAAACAAAUCGAGAAUGGCAACGACGACCAAUUUACUUGUCAUGGGUCAGCCGAGUGCUGGCAGUCACCGCCACAAGACAACAUGGAGGAGAUUCUACAGAAAAUGGGUUUAAUCGCUCGUACUCGCUUAGUCAAUGUCUGCAUGUCUUGGAGCUCACUUGUUAAGAGAGCUGACAUCCGCAGUGCUCAUCAUCUGCCAUGGUUAGUUCACCCUCAAACCCUAAACACCGACUACUUAACCUUUUCGAGCCUCUGUGAGGGUGAACUUGUGAAGUUGGAUCUACCAACUCCAAAGCGAUUCUGAGGACACGGCAAGUUCAAGUUUCAAACAUCUUCUAAAGGUUGGCUGAUCCUUUUUCAAGAAAAAGGACUCAGCAUUGAUAUGUUCCUAUACAAUCCGAUUUCUAGAGCCCAACACCAACUUCCUUCCUUAAGCACAAUCCCAUCUUUCCUACCUUUCCGACUAGCGACAAUGCUAUCGAAAUGGAAGGGUAUCAACAAAUAUGCCGAGAAUUUUGUAACUGAAGUUGUGUUCUCUAGUCCAAAUAUCUCGGAAUGCAUUGUUGCUGCCGUUAUUGGCCCCACAGAAGGAAUUGGCAUUGUGCAGACCUGGAGACAAAACCUGGACAGUUUUUGAGAUUUUGAAUACUGAGGACGACCAUCUCAUGGAUUUACUCUUUUCGGGGGGCAUGCUAUACGGCAUAGUUGAUAAUGUUACAAACGGUCAUAACACAAAGAAUGGCAUAGGCGCAGCUCGCAUCCUAAACUUUGGAGAUGAUCACACAAUGAGAGUGGAAUUGAAGUUGGUGUAUGGCCAUAAAGAAGUUGGUUAUACGACCGAAGUACAUGAUGACUAUCUAAUCCUUUUAAAUAGAGACUACAACUCAUAUUUGUUAGAAUCAACAACAAACUGCAGCAAGGAAAUCUUGUUGAUCCAUCAAAGGUUCGAUUGUUUACUCGACCUUGUUCAUGAUGGUUUGGAUAUGGAAUAUCAGAAGACAAGUGGGUUUCUAGUAUACAAGAUUGAUCUCGUGUCUGGCAAAUUUCAAGAGGUAAAAAACUUGGGGGAUCAAAUAAUAUUUUUGGCAGAACAUAGCUCUUCCUUUGCCUUUGCGGCAAGUGAUUUCAAACUACAAGGAAAUUGCAUCUAUUUUGCAACAAGCGGAUAUGACCCAACCUACCUACCUCGUAAGUUCUCGCUUGGACAAAAUAUAUCUCGUGAAAUGGGAAUCUAUAGUUUGGAUGAUGGAAAGAUUAAGCGACCCUUUCCAAGUCUUGAUGUUGGUAGUAGCUCAUCACCUUGUAAACUAAGUUGGUUCUGUCCGAGUUUAUGACUAUUGUUCUAGGAUGUUAAGAAUCUGUAUACAGCCAUAACUUCAGCAGCAAUAGAGCUUGAUAACAGCCAUAACUUCAGCAGCAAUAGAGCUUAGAAUGUCCAACUUAGAGCAAAAAGCACUCAUAACUUUGCCACUGUAAUCACGAAAUACCCCUCUAUAACCAGUUUUGUUUGAACUACUUUUCCAUGCCCCGUCAGUGUUCAGCUUAAUACACCCAUAUAGAGGAGGGUGCCAGUUAACUUCGAUUACUCUUGGAGCACGUCGGGGCCGACAUUGAACGCCAACUUUCUUCAAAACCACAAGCUCCUCAAUAGAAUUAAACAUGCAUCCAGUGACUAACUUACUUGAUGAAAUAACAUGGCCUGAAAUGAGGGAACAUACACGUGUAGCAUCCACCCUAAGACCUUCAUAUUUAAUCUUGUUCCUUGAACUCCAAAUAAACCAUAGAGUAGUAACAAAACAGGUUGACCACACGUACAACUUCAAUGUGUGUAAAUUUUCAUUUACUUCUGUUCAUUUUCUUGUAUUAAUUUGUAGUGGUCGAACGUUUACGUGAGAAAAUAUGUUGCCAAUUUUGUAGCACUUAGAGUAUAGAAGGGAAGAACACACAUUGCCGAUUUAUAAGGGAAUCAAAACCAUCUUAAGUAGCUGAGGUGUUAUAUAUGAGUAUAGAAGAAGAACACACAUUGCCAAUGAUUUUCCAAGCUAUUAGAGAGCCAAGAAAAAAAUCCUAUGAAAAUUUUGUGUCCUCGGAGUGGCCGGGGCUUAGAUGGACCGGUGAGAUCAUCCAAAGUAAACAGUCAAAUUUCCAAGGAACAAUACAUGCCACUAUAAAAUAGAAACUACCCAUAAGACUGCUAAUUCUGCCUAGGCAAUGAUCCCAUGAGCUGAGCCUUUAGCUCAAUUAUAACCCAACUGCUCUGCUAAUGAUAACAGUUCUUUCUUCAGUUUUAAACUAGAGGGCUACCAUGUAAAAAUAGUUGCACCCUGCAUGUCAACUACACACUCUAAUUUAGUUUCUUUCCUCUAGGUUUCCUUUUGAGAAGGAGUUCACGCAGCAAUGUCAAAACUUAUAGAAGGCCGGCAACGAGAACAGAGUUCAGUUAUGAUAAGAAGAAGCAAAUUAACAAGGUGCAUGAAGAUCCAGAUCCGCCCUGCUUCUUCUUUUUCGUCCGAGAGGGCUUUGGAGAACUGGAGGAAGCUAUCUGCUGCCCUCAAGAAGCCUAAAAGGCGACGGUUUCUCUUCAAUCCCGCAGCUCGCUUCCGUUGGGUCAGCACCUCGAUCUGUUCCUCUCCAUAUCCAUCUCUGAGUUUCUUUAAGUUCCCGUCACAGUACAUUUUCGUCUCCAAUUUUGAUUUACCAGAGCUCAAAUUUACAAUCCUCUUUCAAAAGACUGAAAGAGGUGACGUCAUUUGUUUAGAAGAAGCUCUGAACUCCUUCAGUUGAAAGUAUAAUUUACCAAGGAAUGCAUCAUGCCGGAGUGGCGCAUCAUGUGAUGUUCCUGGACAUGGCAAUCACCGAUUGUGGUAGGGGAGCUUCCUAUAAAGAACUAGCUCAGAUGAAGUACACUCAAAUAUCUAUGUAUAUAAUGUAGGAGCAAUAUAAUGGUCUAAUACUGGAUGAUGUGCUACAAUAAACUCCUGUUUAGAACUACCAGGUGAAGAAAAAAACCAAUAUAAUGGUCUAAUACUGGAUGAUGUGCCCAUCAACAAGAUGUGAAGUUUUCUAGUAGUUACAUAAUUAGGAGUCUUCUAACAGUAGGACAUGUAUCCUGCUGGCCUUCUGAACCUUGGAACGUUCCUGCAGCGUAUUUGAAAGUGAAAAAUUAUAAUAUGCAUAAAAAAUAUCAUUUGACUAACAGAAAGCAAAGAAGUAAGAGGACCAUACCCAUAUCCAUGCGCGAAUAGAAGUAUGAGGGUACAUAAGGGCCCCUGAAGUGGUAACCCAUAUACGGAUUGUUACGUCCAGAGCGGAAUUGCUUGUAUCCGGGAACACUCUUAGGCAAAACCUAGGGAUAUAUUACACAAUUAACAAACACUUGCAAUAAUGAUAUAACAGAAAGCAAUAUUCAAGACCAAUAAUCUAACUGGUUACUGGUGUUAAUGUAUUUCUUACUUCUCUGGUUGUUUCAAUAGAUUCACACAACAACAAUAAACAAGGAGCAGAGAGCAAAUAGAGGAUUACCUUCAACGGCCUUCCAUGCAACUCAGAUUCAUUCAGAGCGAGAGCCUCUUGAACAGCUUCUGCUUCCGGGAAUUCCACAUAAGCAAAACCCUUUGGUUGGCCACAUUUAUCUGUCAGCAUAGUCACCCUGUUAACUGUGCGAUAUGAUUCGAAAUGCUGCUGUACUUCUUCAGGUGUACAUGCAUAAGCAACCUGAAAAACAUAAUUUCAUCCAGUUUGAAGCCAGAGUCAGCGGAGGAGACAACAUACAACACAACAUAUAAAAAACAGGAAGUGCAUUAACAAGAAGAAAUAGCACAUUUUGGAUGAGUUUUGGGACAGCAUAAAAACUGUUUAUUGUAGUGUUGAAGUAGGUAAAAAAACUAACAUUAACAUGUGUCUAUCAAGCUGGGAAAAGUUCUUUUAUACCUAAUGCACAGCCACAGAUACACACAGAUAUAAAAUUACAAAAUUCAUUUCUCUUUUGAGCUUAUGAAAACCUAUUCAAAUAAUUAGCAUUCUAGUUACUAGUACCUUCUAUUCUAGACAGCCUCACCGCCCUCAUUCACUUACCCAACAUUCAAUGAUUUAAUCCAUUAGGCCAGCAAAGACACUAGGGAAUCUGCCGUACAUUCUCACUGUUAGUCUAAAUUGGGCUAAUGGAAUUUUUUUUUUCCCGAAUUGGUUCAACUCAAAACACUGUUACUCACUUACUCUACAUUGUAACAAUGAUGCGACAGAUUACAUGGACCACCCUAAAUCUACAUUGUAACAUAUCCAGCGCCUAGACACAGAGACGUUGCGGAGCAACAAUGAGCCUGUGAUCAUUGUACGAUAAACGGUCAAACCAAGACUCUCAAGGGGCAUAUGAUACCCAUCCACACAAGUGUAAAGUAUACAUACAACUUAAGUGAGUAGUUCAGUUGAGGUACUUAACAAAGGUUGAAACCUUUUAAUCUUAUUACAAAAGUACAUAAGCGAAACCAAACUGCAAGGAUUCACAAAAACAGUCAUACAAUUGAAGAGAAACCAAACAUUCAUCCAUCACACUCAACAUGAAAAAGUCAAGGAUUAACAAACCAAGCAUAUAUCUGAAGAGAAACUAAAUGUUAACGGGCUAAUCGAAAUUGGAACUGGCCAAACUAUGAGAGGCAAAGAGCCCUCAUCCCUUCAGAUUAUUCCAAAAGCAACAUCAGAAAUUUUGUUAACAGUGGCAGCACAAAUCUUAACUAAUAUUAUGAGAUAUAGUCAAUCACCAAAAAAAAACCUAAACUAAUUGAAUCUGCAUCAAGAAAAAUGCAAAACAGAGAAGCUAAGCAACAGUCAAGUACAAUUCAUACCCAGACUCUGGUGUCGCCGUGGCUCCAUUCUAAUCGAAUCUCAGUCUGAAUUUCCCUCUCGGAGAUCAAACUCCCAUCGACUGCAAUUAGGACUAAGGGAUGAGUGCGAACUCAGACUAAGCAAAAACCCGCUAAAGGAAUGGUCAUACGAUACCUGAAAGAGAAAGAUUUUUCCCACAAACGACAUGUCGUGUGUUGCUGCUCUUGAAGGUUAACCGCCACAUCAGCGUCAAUGCCUGCCAUCCGGACCGUCCACGCUGCACAUCGGCGCCAAAUCAAAGAAAGCGAUCUACAUCGGAAUCCAUGGCUGCUCCGGCCUGUUCCAGACGCAAAAAAUAAUAAUAAAAAAAAACUGAAAAAAAGAAAAAAAGAACCAAAAAGAACGAGAAAGAAACCAAGAGGCGGCGGAUAUGGAGGAUUCAGGCGAGGCGAAGCAGUUUCUGGCCGGAAAAUUCAAAAAAUCACAGAGAUUGUGAUUUAUGCUGACGCCGGAAAUUUAAGCAAGAAAUCGAACACAAUUAAGAGAGAUAGAGAGGGAAAGAGAGAUGAGUUCAGAAAGAAAGUGAGGUGGCCCUGUAUGCCACAAUACCCAAGAAGACGACAAAGAAGACGAUGAUGAUCACAGAGAUUGUGACUAUCUUGCUGAUGGUGGUCGUCGGAGUCGAAGACUGCUGCUUGGCGAGCUUCUUGGCCUUUCUCUCUGCUUUUCUGCGUAGUGGUCUUGUGUCUCUUUUACUUGCUCCGUAACGGGAAGCUUUUUCGAAGGGAGAGAGAAUGACAGUGAGAGAUGAGAGGGAAGAGGGCAGUGGAAAUUGGGGAAAUGGGUCCGUAUUUAUAAGAAGUGAGCUCCGUCUUGAAAAGAAAGAAAAAAAAGGAGUAAAAUGAUAUAUAUUGAAUUAUGGGACGUGACAGUCCAUAUAUGUGACAAUCACUUAGUCGUGACUUCUUAUUACACUUACGAGUUUUUGAGUUAGGUCCAAUGUGAGAAAUGAAACAGAGCAUGACAAAUCGCGGCUAUAAACAAUCUCGAAAAUCAAGAUGUUUUUAUAUUAUAAAAAAAAAAACCUAAUUAAAAUAGAUGAGCUACGAGGACAUCUUUAGUUACAAUGUCUUAGAGAAGAGCUCCCGAAAAAGAUCAAAGAACUUUAUUUUCCUAAAUAGUUUAACAAGUAGCAUUGUGUCCAAGAUUUGCAAUCCUACCAGCAACAAGUUUGCCUCCCUAUAAACAUGGGAGAAGGAAAUACUUUCAAAGUUAUCCGCCAAAUUUCUGAUAUCUUAGAUCAAUUGAGGAGCCUCCAAGGAGGCUAUUAAGUGCCGCUAACAGCAUCGGUGACUAGUUUGGAGUCACCCUCCACUUCUAGAUGGUUGUAGCCUUUUUACAGCGCCAUUUUUAAACAAUCACGAAGAGCACGAGCUUCAGCUAUAGGAGAAUGUAGUCUCCUGAGUUAAUACCUACAAUAGCUAGGGGUCUUCCAAAGCAAUCUCAUAAAACAAAACCACCAACUAUAAAAUUAUUUUGCGUGUCAAACUCUCCUCUAUAACUUCCAAAGAACUCUCCUCUAUAACUUCGAGAGCAAUCUCUUAACUCAAAUUCAUUCCUAAAUCAUACAGAUGAAGUACAAACCAAAUUCAUGGGAUGUAUACCCAAAACCAAACACAAAUUCAAAAAUAAAUGGGUCUUCUGCCCAUUUAAAUCCAAAUGCCGGAACAUACAUGUGGUUUGAUCCCACCAAGGGUAUGUAGGUAAUCUAAAACCAAAUCUAUCCAGAUACAACCGCGUCCAAAACAAAAAAUCAAAUCAAAGCCUUACUCAAAUCACCAGUUCACUUACACCAAAUUUGUCCCCAAACACUACUCGUACGCGUAUUGCAAAAUCAAAGCCCUCUAACAAGCCAUUCACUUGUUGGAGGUCUUGAACUACGAAUGGCUUGAUUUCUUUUUAAGGGUACGUAGGCAACCCAUUCAAAUAUCCGGGUAACAACAUCUCAUCCACAUUUUGCUUUCUUCAUAUAAAAAUAGAAUAAAAGGGUGUUUUCCUAUAUUGAUGGAAUCUAAUUAAGAGACAUUAUGCCUUGAAUCGGUUGACCCGAAAUAAUUAAAACUCUAUUCACAAAAUAAAUACGAGAGAAAUUAUGUUUGGUGACAUUUUCACUCACUAUAUAUAAUUUUUUUUAUUUCUUAUGUUUAGGUAUAUAUGAACAAUGCACAAGACACGUAUAUAUAUUAGGGUUUUUCUUUCUUUCCUUUCUCACAGUAAAAUAAUGUAAUAAAUAAGAGUUCUUCUAUUGUUUGUUCAGAAUGUGCUGGACUUGAUUAUUGUCAUGUAGCACGUGGUUCAGUUAUUAUCCCCCCCAUGUUACAUAAUAAAUGGAACAAGACGCGAGGCUAAGUCUCUUAGUUAUGCUAAUUUCCAAACUGUUUAAUCAUCAUAGGUGGUUGAGUUUGUAAGAGCAUUGAUGUGGAAUUCUCUUACUCAGUUUCAAAUCCCCCCGACUUUAACUGGAAUUAAAUCUUCAAUUUAUUCUUGAUGGCCAAGGGGAGGAAAGCGUUCUGAAAUGACUCUUCUAUGCGGAUUAGUCUUUGGGCGGAUACCGUCGUUGACACUCUCAACAAAGGAUAAAGAUCCUCUCAUUGGCUGCAGGGGCGUAGGGAAGGGGGGGUCAAGGGGUUCAGCUGACCUCCCUCACAUUUUCUAUUAGGUCAUAUUGUUAUCUAAUUUGUCAGUUGAAAUGUGAUGUUGGUACUAUUUUGACCAUUCUAACUAAUUAAAGAAAAGUUUGGCAUAUAAAAUAUUAAUUACAAUAAUCAAUUUGGACAGAGGAGUGUUCAACUCCUCACGUGUGUUUGAUACGUGUGGCUCUCUUAUUUUUUUUUAAUAUAGGUUUCUAAUCCGAAUCAAUGAUUGAUUGCAUCUCCCUUUAAUAUUACAAUUAAAACAUAUUCCUAGUAUUUUUUUUUGUCUUUUUAAUUAAUAUGUUUUCAUAAUCAAUCAAUUAUUGUGAUUGAUUUCUCGUGCACCUCUAUAUAAACAGUUUUAGUAGCUUCUUUACGUAUUUCUUUUUGUUAUCCUUCAAUAAAUUUUUCCCUAUCGUCAACAACCUUCAUAAUUAAAAACUUGCAAUUAUGAAUGUUUUAGUUUUAUUGGAAAAGUAUCGUAAGAUAAAAGCAGCAGAACAGUCGACUCCAUCUGAAGCUCCUCCAAAAUUUUCAAAUAUGAGCAAUCGUCGAGGACAAUUAUAAUUACUUUAGGGAGAUUUGCUAUUUUAUUUAGCUUUUGUUUUCAAAGUAUUCUAAUGAUUUAUAAGUUUUUAUAUUAUUCAAUAAAAAUUAUAUUUUUAUUUUGUGUGGCAUUAUUGUUUAAACUCUUGACCCUUCUACUUGUGGUUUCUGGCUACGCCACUGAUUGGCUGGUACCUGGUAAUUGGUCUUGGUUAUCCUUAGCUUUCAAUCUCAACCAUUAAUGACAUAUUUGAGGGCUAAUAAGACUCCACAUCAGCGAAAACUAUAAUAAAGGGCAAUGUUUUUCUUUUUCUCACAGCUAGCAACACUAAUGUCGUUCACAUUUUCCUUCUUUUUCCCCCUUCAUUGUCUUCCUCACAUUCAUCUGAUCAUCCCCUGCCACCGAGAAAUUGGAAACAAUGAAAGCUGAAACAAUUAAUUGCAAACCAAAAGAAUACAAUAGAGAUACUUAGAACUAGAUACAUAUUCACCAUACCCAGUAUCUCACCUCUACUUAAUCAUAAAAUCUUAGACUUUUAUAUGAUAAGAAAUCAAAUUUCACCGAGAUACCUCAACUGUGAAAGGGAGGGGUUGACUUGGGCAAAGCAUAUUUAUCCAGAUUCUUGAUUUGGCCAAAGCUCGUGUUCUUUGGAGCUAAUUAAUCUCAUUGGAAGACCUAAUAAACUCGACUUUGUUUACAUUGUUCAUCCCACAGAUUUUUUGCCCUCGAUAGAGUUGCGACCCACGAUCUCUAUCUUUUGCAGAGUUUUACCCGUCUUGUCGUUCAUCUUUGCAAGCCAAUAUGCUAUCAGAAUUUUUACCCAGCAGCCGGUGUCGGUGAGUACAUGCAUCUUACCAGUUGUAGGCGAUUCAGAAAGUCAUCCAAAUCCUUUAUGAAUAUAAGCAUAUAUCGUGGAAGAUUUUAAUUUGGGUAGAGCCGGAUUUUGAUUUUGUUGGGUUUUUAAGAUUUGUUUUGUUUGUUAUUAUUGCUGAUAAUAAUCCCUUGUUAAUAGGGACGUGUAGUUAGUGUUUUACUAAUUCUUGUAAUCAUGUACCACGCUUUAGAGUAGUGGAAGUGUGGGCUGCAGUUUCCCUUCUGUUUGUUUUUGAAAGGCUAUAUAUGCCUAAGUUUCUAAGAUAAUGAAUAUUGAGGUAUUCUCCCAAAACAGUGUUGUUUUCUUGAGUAUUUGGGUUCAACAAUUCUGGUAUCAGAGCCCUUAACGGGGCCUGAUCAAAAGGGGGGAACGAGAGAAGAGAGAUAGAGUUGAGAAAAGAAAAGAAAGACAGUGUUGUGAAAAUACAGAUUAGGGCAUGGCAGAGAACAAUUUUGUUCAACCAGCCAUACCAAAGUUCGAUGGUUUCUAUGACCAUUGGGCAAUGAUGAUGGAAAAUCUCUUGCGUUCGAAGGAUUACUGGUCUUUGGUGGAAGUUGGAAUCCCAGCGGCAGCAGCAACUGGAGUUGAAGAGACAGAUGCCCAAUGAAAGGUUAGAGAAGAUACUAAAGUAAAAGACUUGGAGGUAAAAAACUAUCUGUUUCAAGCCAUUAACAGAACAAUAAUGGAUACCAUCUUAGACAAGGCGACUGUAAAGGGAAUUUGGGACUCCAUGAGACAGAAGUACCAAGGAUCCACAAAGGUUAGAAGAGCCCAACUGAAGGCACUCAGAAGGGAAUUUGAGAUUCUGGGAAUGAGAGAAGGGGAGAAGGUGGAUGAAUACUUCGCUCACACACUCACCAUCGCGAACAAGAUGAAGGCACAUGGCGAGAGAAUGGAACAAUUGGUGAUAGUCGAAAAGAUCUUAAGGUCUAUGACUCCUAAAUUUGAUUAUAUGGUGUGUUCGAUAGAGGAGUCUAACAAUCUUACAACCAUGACCAUUGAUGAACUCCAAAGCAGUCUUCUGGUGCAUGAACAACGUAUGAUUGGUCACAGUGGAGAUGAACAUGUACUGAAGGCAACUCUUGAAGAUAAUUUUGCAGCUAGAGGAAGAGGCCGUGGAGGAUUUCGAGGACGGGGAAGAGGCAGAGGCAGACAAGGUUUCAACAAAGCCUUGAUCGAAUGUUGUAAGUGUCAUAAGCUAGGACACUUUCAAGAUGAGUUCCCUAGUUGGGAAAAGCGGGUGAAGUACACUGAACUUGAAGAGGAGGAGGAGUUAUUGCUCAUGGCUUAUGUGGAGGAAAACAAAUCAAGUAGGGAGGAUGUGUGGUUCUUGGACAGUGGUUGUAGCAAUCACAUGUGCGGAAACAAGAGAUGGUUUUCUACAAUUGAUGAAGGUUUUCGGCAUGCAGUGAAGCUAGGCAACAACACAAGGAUGUCAGUGAUGGGAAAUGGCAACAUCAAGCUUCAAGUCCAUGGUUUAACUCAGGUAAUUAGUGAUGUGUAUUACGUUCCUGAGUUAAGAAAUAAUUUGUUGAGCAUAGGUCAGUUGCAAGAGAGAGGAUUGGCUAUCCUCAUUCAAGAUGGAGUGUGUCAAGUUUACCAUCGGAGAAAGGUGUAACCAUGCAUACCCCUAUGUCUGCUAACAGAAUGUUUGUGAUUCUCACAAAAAUAAUGCUCACUGACUCCACAUGCCUGCAAGUAGCAUCCGAUGAUCUAGCAUACCUGUGGCAUUGUCAGUUUGGUCACUUGAACUACAAGGGGUUAAGGACUUUACAUUACAAAAAGAUGGUGAGAGGAUUACCUUCAUUCAAAACUCCAACAAAGACUUGUGUGAAUUGCCUAGUGGGAAAGCAAAGAAGAGAUUCAUUCCCAAAAAGAAGCUUAUGGAGAGCCACUCAAAAGCUACAAUUGGUGCAUGCAGACAUUUGCGGCCCAGUUACACCUACUUCCAAUAGCAACAAAAGAUACCUUCUUAGCUUCAUUAAUGAUUAUAGUCGGAAGAUGUGGAUUUACUUUCUCACAGAGAAGUCAGAAGCCUUUACUAUGUUCAAAAACUAUAAGAAUCUUGUAGAGAAGGAAACAUGUUCUUCUAUUUGUUGCUUAAGGACAGACAGGGGAGGAGAGUUUACCUCUAAUGAGUUCAACAACUUUUGUAAAUCUCAUGGUAUCAAAAGGCAACUUACGGCUGCUUAUACUCCCCAACAAAAUGGGGUUGCUGAACGGAGGAACAAAACUAUCAUGAAUGCAAUCCGGAGCAUCUUGUUUGAAAAGAAAGUUCUGAAAAGCUUUUGGCUGGAAGCAGUAAAUUGGGUCACACAUGUUCUCAACAGAAGUCCAACUAAAGUGGUGCAAGAUGCAACUCCUGAGGAAGGUUGGAGUGGGGUGAAACCAAAUGUAAAUUACUUCAGGGUGUUUGGGUGCAUUGCCCACGUUCACGUUCCUGAUGCCAAAAGAACCAAACUUGAUGACAAAAGCUGCAAAUGUGUUCUGCUUGGUGUAAGUGAAGAAUCGAAGGCCUACAGACUAUACAAUCCUAUCUCAAGAAAGGUCAUUGUGAGCAAGGAUGUUGUUUUUGAAGAGGAUGAAAGCUUGGAUUGGGGGAGGAGUGAUGAGGAGAUCAAGCUUGAUGUGUUUGAAUGGGGAGAUGAUGAUGAGGACAAAAAUGAGGAUGGACAGAGUGAUGAAGAAAAUGAAGAUGAUGGUGAAGGUGGUAUAGCUACUGACCAACAAGAUGGUGUGUCCGGCUUAUCUUCAUCAUCUUCUAGACCAAAUAAUCCACCAAGUUCACUUGUACAAGAAGAUGAGCAAGUAGGUAGAAAACAAAGUAGGCCAGAUUAUCUAGAAGACUACACAAGUGGGGAAGGUUUAUCCGGAAGUGAUUAUGAGGUUCAAGGUUUAUCUGAAAGUGAUGAUGAGGUUCACAAUUUAGCUGUGUUCAGUGCCGAUGAGGAUCCAGUAAGUUUUGAUGAAGCUGUUCAUUAUGCAGAAUGGAGGGAUGCAAUGAAGUUUGAAAUUGAGGCUAUUGAGAGAAAUGAUACUUGGGAGCUCACAACUCUACCUCAAGGUGUGAAGAAAAUUGGUGUGAAGUGGGUUUCAAGACAAAGUACAAUGAGCAUGGUGAAGUUGACAAAUGCAAGGCUCGACUAGUAGCAAAGGGAUAUGCACAGCAGUUUGGAAUAGACUACAAUGAGGUUUAUGCACCUGUAGCUAGAUGGGAUACAAUUCGGAUGAUUGUGGCUUUGGCAGCUCAAAAAAGCUGGAGUAUCUAUCAACUUGAUGUCAAAAGUGCCUUCUUGUAUGGGGAGUUAGCUGAAGCAGUUUACAUUGAACAGCCACAAGGGUUCAAAAAGAAGGGAGAUGAAGAGAAAGUCUACAAGCUUAAGAAAGCACUUAUGGGCUUAAGUAAGCCCUUAGGGCAUGGUACAGCAAAAUUGAAGGGUACUUUGCCAAAGAAGGGUUUGAGAAGUGUGAUUUUGAGCAUACUUUGUUCAUCAAGGCUGGAGAUGGAGGUAAAGUUCUUAUUGUGAGCUUAUAUGUAGAUGAUUUAAUAUUCACUGGUAAUUGUGAGAGCAUGUUUAACAAGUUUAAGACUUCCAUGAAGCAAGAAUUUGAUAUGAGUGACUUGGGCAAAAUGAAAUACUUUCUUGGAGUUGAAGUGAUACAGAGAUCGGAGGGUAUUUAUAUUUGUCAAAAGAAGUUUGCAAAAGAAGUCUUGGACAGGUUUGGCAUGGAGAAGAGUAUAGUGUGAACAACCCUAUUGUCCCUGGUGUUAAAUUGAUGAGAGAUGAAGGAGGAGUCAAGGUGGACGCCACAAAGUACAAGCAAAUGGCAUGGUCGGAAGCCUUAUGUACUUGACAGUGACAAGACCCGACUUGAUGUAUGUAGUUUGUCUGGCAAGUAGGUUCAUGGCAAAUCCAACAGAGAUGCAUUAACAAGCUUUGAAGAGGGUGCUUCGAUACAUCAAGGGUACUGUGAAUUUGGGGAUACUAUACAAGAAGGGAAGUGGUGAAAAACUAGUUGCUUACACAUAUAGUGACUAUGCAGGUGAUGUAGAUGAUUGUAAAAGCACUUCUGGGUAUGUAUUUUCUUUGUGUGGAGGAGCUGUGUCUUGGGCUUCAAAGAAACAACCAGUGGUCACCUUGUCAACCACCGAGGCAGAAUUUAUAGCAGCAAUGUCAAGACCCACCCCGAAUUUCACCCUGAAACCCGAAGUAAAUCAUGUGGGGACCACCUUUAAGGAAAAUUUACCGAAAAUUCGGCAUAACCUCCCUUGAAAAUAGACAACCAUUCCUAAGAAAACCUGCAUACACUUCCAAUAAACCAAAUCCAACCUUAAACUCCUGGAGCCUUCAUGCUCCCCCAAAUCACAACAUCUCCCAAUUAUUUAAAUAUCUACACAAAUCUCAUAUCCAACCAUUUAUAGGUUCAGAGCAACACUAAUAGGAAGAAAGGAAACAUAAUAAAUUAACAAGCGGAAGCUAUAUGAUGACUAUGCAUCAUCCCCAUGUACGCCCGACCUCAACUAUGCAAUCCUGCAACUGGGCAUUUUAAAACGAAGGGCCCAGGGGAAAACAUUUGAAAAGUGAGUGGACAAUAACAUAAAUUUAAUGAAAAUAUUUAUGCUUUCCCAAUUUACAUUUCCAUAGAAAAUAUGCUGCAUGCGACAGCUCAAAAACGCUCAACACAAAAACUGGCAAUUUCAUGACUAGCUCCGGCCAGUCUCCAAAGUUCAAUAAAAUACAGCCUCUCAGGCUAAAAUAAAAUAUUUAUGUAUUACACUCGUCAUAUCCCUUGUAUGAAUUUUCUUGAAACAACAAAGAUAAAUAGAAAAUUCACCCAAGGCUACGACGCUUGCGUCUAACGCUCACGUCGCACCAUAAUGGCAUUUUACCUCAUUAUGGUGGAAAAGACGGUGUAUAAAUAUAUAUGCACAUAUCCCCUAUAUAAAUUAUUAUAUUUAUAUAGGGCUACGACGAUUGCGUCUAACGCUCACGUCGCACCAUAAUGAAAUUUUACCUCAGUAUGGUGGAAAAGCACGUAUAGCUAGCUAACAUUUCUUUAUAUACAUAUUAUUCUCAUAAUUAUCCAAAUAUGGAUAUAUAUAUAUAUAUACUCACCGAAAUUCUCAAUUUCGGUUAUUCUCCAACAAUAAUGAAAAUUACCAAUUAUCAUAAAAAGCAAUAUGCACACGACUCCACCGAAAAUCUCAUUUUCGGUAACUUUCCAAAUGACACGAUAGCCAUUAAAAAUGAGAACAUUUACUUCUGAAAAUGACUUCGCGAAAAUAAACAAUUCCACAAAUUGAUAUAUUUAAUAAAAUCAAUCAUUUAAUAUAGAAUCACCGCAUGCAUAUAUUUUAAAACAAAAGUCCACUCACAACUUUAGGCCUAAGCCUGACGUCGAUCCGAGGCCUCUUCCACUCGAGCCUCCUCACGUCCUGAUCCAAACAUAUAAUUAAUUUCCCAACUAAAAAUCCAAUAUUUACACAAUAGGCAAAAUUAACCGAGAGCCAUAAACACGCUCAUCAUUGCCUAACUUCGAUAUUCUUAAAUCGAAACGACCCAAACUUUAAUACCAUACUCGGCAGCCGUAAUUACAACCUCCCCAGAACAACGACUUAGAUCCUACGACCGGAAUCUACAUUAUUUAACCACAAAAAAAAAACUAAACUUCGGAAAUUCCCAAACCUAUAUAUCCAAAACUCAUCCAAAAAUUCCAUAACUCACAUCAAUAAACUCCCUUAUAUUCCACACUUAAAACUAUACAAAACUCCCAAACAGCGGCGGCCGGAGGCCGAUUCCGGCGACCUCUAAUGCCUAUGAAAUUUUGACAGAAUAAUCUCCUCAUCAUGCUCUACAACUUUCCUAACUACCACAACACCCAAUUUCAAGCCUAACUAGGCCAAUCGAAUGAAAACACACUAGAAAACCCUAGAGCUUCCACUCACCGGUUCUCCUUACCUAGACCACGAGAGGGCGAGCUCUUUGAGGGAUUGCUGCAUGCGAGGAGAGCUUCACAACGAGCCAAGACUCGUUAGCUAUGGCGGCCGGAGGAGGGAGCUCCGGCGAGAGGACAAUCGGCUUCCAAGGAGGGCUUCCUCUGUUCGGCGGGGUUGCAGCGCCGCUCACCAUCCCAGGAAGGCAGCGGGGAGGACGACAGACCGUGCUGGAGUGGUGCGGCGUCCCUGCUUGGCCGGACGGCGGCGGCGGGCACUGGUCUUCCGGCGAAGUGAGAGAGAGCUCGGGAGAAGAAGAACCGGGGAAAGAAAAGAGAGAAGGAGAAAAAGAGGAGAAGAAGAGAAGAAAAAGAGAGGAGAAAAUGGGGUUUGGGCCUCACACCAACCCGGCCCAACACCACAAUUAAACCUAACUCCACCAUUAAAACACCCUAAAAAUAAAUACCCUAAUAAAAAUUACCUUUUACUAGCUAAAAUUUACCAUUUUUUUACCGUCGUCAUAUUUUUCUCCUACGAAUAAUCCUCCGAAAAUAACCGUCCCCAAAACGCCUCUAGAGACCAAUUAAACUAUAACCUCAAUGACCGAGACGGUAAAAUUCUUAUUAUAAUCAAGCUAGUAAAUAAGUUAAAUAUUUUAGGGUCGGGAUGUGACAAGCAGCUUCUUGUGAUACACAAGGGAUUUGGAUGAGAAGAGUAUUGGAUAAGCUUGGCUGUUCUCAAGAGGGUUGUGUCACAAUUCUAUGUGACAACAGUUCCACCAUAAAGUUGUCCAAAAAUCUUGUUCUUCAUGAUCGUAGUAAGCAUAUUGACAUUCGUUUUCAUUUUCUUCGAUUCGUGAUCUUGCAAGAGAUGGAAAGGUGAAGUUAAUUCAUUGUGGUUCACAAGAACAGGUUGCAGACAUUAUGACAAAGCCUCUCAAGCUUGAUGUGUUCAUGAAGCUGAGAGAGAAGCUAGGAGUUUGUGAAGUUCCAAACGUAAACUGAUUGCUUUGGCAAUUCAGUUUAGGGGAGGAAAUGUUGGGUUUUUAAGAUUUGUUUUGUUUGUUAUUAUUGUUGAUAAUAAUCUCUUGUUAAUAAGGACGUGUAGUUAGUGUUUUACUAAUUCUUGUAAUCGUGUACCACGCUUUAGAGUAGUGGAAGCGUGGGCUACAGUUUCCCUUCUGUUUGUUAUUGAAAGGCUAUAUAUGCCUAAGUUUCUAAGAUAAUGAAUAUUGAGGUAUUCUCCCAAAACAGUGUUGUUUUUUUGAGUAUUUGGGUUCAACAGAUUUAACUUCCCAUGAAUAUCAUCUCCAUCUUCAACUUAAAGCUUUGUAUGAUAAGGAAAUAGUUGUCGGAGGCUGCAAGAGGUGAAGCCAUGACGGUGAGGAAGACGAAGCGAAAGACAAUAUUGACGGCGUUAAGCAUUGUUACAGGUGAAAUGUUGAACUUUUACAUUUAUUAUAGCUUUUGCUGAUGUGGAGUCGUAUUAGCCCUCAGAUAUAUCAUUUACGGUUGAGACUGAAAGCCAAGGAUAACCAAGGCCAACUACCAACCAUAGCGAGGGUCUAUCUCUUGACAAAGUUCCAAACUGUCUUAAAAUAUGAUUAUUAUUUAUUCUGCAACCUCAAAAUGAAAAUCCCAUACGGAAUUAAUUAAGGAGAGUGAGAUUUCAUAAUCCUACUAGGUUACGAAGUCAGAAUCCUGCUUGGAAAUGAAAUAUUUAGCCAUAUAUAAAUACAGAUGUCCCGUUUCAUUUUUGCAUGCACAACCAAUAUUCUAGUCAAGGAUGGCCAUGCUCUCUCUAUAUUUGUCUUACACUAACCUGGGAAACUACCUCACCUGGUUCACCAGGUCUGUUUCCUACAAGCAAUUACAUGAACACAAAAUCUUUACAGGCUCAGUAGUCGAGAACUGCAACGACGACCAAAUCACUUGUCAUGGCUCAGUCGGAUGCUGGCAGUCACCGCCACAAGACGUCAUGGAGGAGAUUCUACAGAAAAUGGGUUUAAUUGCUCGUACACGCUUAGCCAAUGUCUGCAUGUCAUGGAGUUCACUUGUUACGAGAGCUGACAUCCGCAGUGCUCCGCAUCUGCCAUGGUUAGCUCACCCUCAAACCCUAAACACCAACUACUUAACCUUUUCCAGCCUCUCUGAGGGUGAACUUGUGAACUUGGGAUCUCCCAAUCGCGAAGCGAUUCCGAGGACACGGCAAGUUCAAGUUUCAAGCGUCUUCUAAAGGUUGGUUGAUUCUUUGACAAGAAAAAGGACUCAUCAGCAACCUUUGAUAUGUUCCUGUACAAUCCGAUUUCUAGAGCCCAACACCAACUUCCUUCCUUAAACACAAUCCCAUCAUUCCUAUCUUUCCGACUAGCGACAAUGCUAUCGAAAUGGAAGGGUAUCAACAUACAUGCCGAGUAUUUUGUAACUAAAGUUGUGUGUUCUAGUCCAAAUAUCUCAGAAUCCAUUGUGGCUGCCUCACACGGUAUUGGCAUUGUGUAGACCUGGAAACGAAAGCUGGACUGUCUUUGAGAUACUAAAUCCUGAUGAAGAUGAGUCUCGAUCUCUCAUUGAUUUAAUUUUUUCGAAUGGCAGGCUAUACGGUUUAGUUGAUAAUUGUGACGAGUCCAACAAGAAUGGUAUCGGCGCAGCUCGCAUCUUAAACUUUGGCGAUGAUCAGACAAUGACAGUAGAAUUGAAGUUGGUCUAUGGCCAUAAAGAAAUUGGUAACAUGAUUACGGAAAAUCAUGAUGACCACCAACUCUUUUUAAACGGUGAUUUCAACUCAUAUUUGGCAGAAUCAGCAACAAAUAGGGACAAAGAAAUUUUGUUGAUCCAUCAAAGGUUCGACUGUUUACUCGACCUUGUUCAUGAUGAUUUGGAUAUAGAAUAUAAGAGCACAAGAGGGUUUGCAGUAUACAAGAUUGACCUCGUGUCUGGCGAGUUUCAAGAGGUAAAAAACUUGGGGGAUCAAAUAAUAUUUUUGGCAGAACAUAGCUCUUCCUUUGCCUUUGCGGCAAGUGAUUUCAAACUACAAGGAAAUUGCAUCUAUUUUGCAACAAGCGGAUAUGAACAUGACAACCUACCUCGUAAGUUCUCGCUUGGACAAGAUAUAUCUCGUGAAAUGGGAAUCUAUAGUUUGGAUGAUGGAAAGAUUAAGCGACCCUUUCCAAGUCUUGAUGUUGGUAGUAGUUCAUCACCUUGUAAACUAAGUUGGUUCUGUCCGAGUUUAUGACUUGUUCUAGGAUGUUAAGAAUCUGUAUACAGUAUCUAGUUCUUAAUUGUAAUCCAAGUUACGAGUUAUAAACUACUUCACGUACAACUUCAAUGUGUGUAAAUUUUCAUUUACUUCUAUUCAUUUUAUUGUAUAAAUUUGUAGUGGUCGAACGUUUUACAUGAGAGAAAAUGUUGGCAUUUUUGUAGCGCUUUGCUUUUAAAAAGGGAGGAAAUCAAAAUCAUCUUAAGUAGCUGAGGAUGUUAUGAGUAUAGAAGGACACACAUCGCCAAUUAAUGAUUUUCCAACCUAUUGGAGGGCCAAGAAGAAAAUCCUAUAUAUGUAAAGUUUGUGUCCUCGAAGUGGUGGUGCUUAGAUCGAUGGACUCGGUGAGAUCAUCCAAAGUAAACAAUCAAAUUUCGGAAGAACAAUCCACUAUGAGAUAGAAGCUACCAAUUAAUUCUGCUUCAGCGAUGAUCUCAUGAGCUAAUUUUAGCUUAAUAAUAAGCCAAGUGCUCGGCUAUUCUUAACAUGCAGUUCCUUCUUUAUUUUUAAACUAGAGGGCUACUAUGUAAAAUAGUUGCGCCAUGCCUGUCAAUUACACUCACUAUAACAAGAUUAGCUGCUGCAGAUCGAGUUUCUCAGUCUGUAAGCAGAUUAAGUGAAGAUCAAGUAUAAGGUUCGAUCUGUACAUACAACCUGCUUGCAUAUGUAAUUUCUCAUCUAGUAACCCUUAAUUAUAUUUAGGAGAAAUUACUGGUCACUCCAUUAACUUUCAUGCGCUCGACAGUUUACUCCAUUAACUUUCAAUUUCAAUCGAUUACUCCAUUAACUAUCCAAUGUCACACAAUUAGGUCCAUCCGUUAAGUGGCCGUCCAAAUCAGUGGUUAAGUUGCUGACUGGACAUAUUUUUCAACUGGAAAUUUCAUUUAACACCCUAAACUAACUCUCUCUCUCUCUCUCUCUNNNNNNNNNNNNNNNNNNNNNNNNNNNNNNNNNNNNNNNNNNNNNNNNNNNNNNNNNNNNNNNNNNNNNNNNNNNNNNNNNNNNNNNNNNNNNNNNNNNNNNNNNNNNNNNNNNNNNNNNNNNNNNNNNNNNNNNNNNNNNNNNNNNNNNNNNNNNNNNNNNNNNNNNNNNNNNNNNNNNNNNNNNNNNNNNNNNNNNNNNNNNNNNNNNNNNNNNNNNNNNNNNNNNNNNNNNNNNNNNNNNNNNNNNNNNNNNNNNNNNNNNNNNNNNNNNNNNNNNNNNNNNNNNNNNNNNNNNNNNNNNNNNNNNNNNNNNNNNNNNNNNNNNNNNNNNNNNNNNNNNNNNNNNNNNNNNNNNNNNNNNNNNNNNNNNNNNNNNNNNNNNNNNNNNNNNNNNNNNNNNNNNNNNNNNNNNNNNNNNNNNNNNNNNNNNNNNNNNNNNNNNNNNNNNNNNNNNNNNNNNNNNNNNNNNNNNNNNNNNNNNNNNNNNNNNNNNNNNNNNNNNNNNNNNNNNNNNNNNNNNNNNNNNNNNNNNNNNNNNNNNNNNNNNNNNNNNNNNNNNNNNNNNNNNNNNNNNNNNNNNNNNNNNNNNNNNNNNNNNNNNNNNNNNNNNNNNNNNNNNNNNNNNNNNNNNNNNNNNNNNNNNNNNNNNNNNNNNNNNNNNNNNNNNNNNNNNNNNNNNNNNNNNNNNNNNNNNNNNNNNNNNNNNNNNNNNNNNNNNNNNNNNNNNNNNNNNNNNNNNNNNNNNNNNNNNNNNNNNNNNNNNNNNNNNNNNNNNNNNNNNNNNNNNNNNNNNNNNNNNNNNNNNNNNNNNNNNNNNNNNNNNNNNNNNNNNNNNNNNNNNNNNNNNNNNNNNNNNNNNNNNNNNNNNNNNNNNNNNNNNNNNNNNNNNNNNNNNNNNNNNNNNNNNNNNNNNNNNNNNNNNNNNNNNNNNNNNNNNNNNNNNNNNNNNNNNNNNNNNNNNNNNNNNNNNNNNNNNNNNNNNNNNNNNNNNNNNNNNNNNNNNNNNNNNNNNNNNNNNNNNNNNNNNNNNNNNNNNNNNNNNNNNNNNNNNNNNNNNNNNNNNNNNNNNNNNNNNNNNNNNNNNNNNNNNNNNNNNNNNNNNNNNNNNNNNNNNNNNNNNNNNNNNNNNNNNNNNNNNNNNNNNNNNNNNNNNNNNNNNNNNNNNNNNNNNNNNNNNNNNNNNNNNNNNNNNNNNNNNNNNNNNNNNNNNNNNNNNNNNNNNNNNAGUAGAGAGAGAGNGAGAGAGAGAGAGAGAGAGAGAGAGAGUUAGUUUAGGGUGUUAAAUGGAAUUUCCAGUUGAAAAAUAUGUCCAGUCAGCAACUUAACCACUGAUUUGGAUGGCCACUUAACGGAUGGACCUAAUUGUGUGACAUUGGAUAGUUAAUGGAGUAAUCGAUUGAAAUUGAAAGUUAAUGGAGUAAACUGUCGAGCGCAUGAAAGUUAAUGGAGUGACCAGUAAUUUCUCCUUAUAUUUAUUUCGCUCAGUUGCCUAAUUUUUCUUUGAAGAAAAUUUGACACAGACUUGUGGAAGGUUUUCUGAUAUUUUCUUGAUAACAAAGAGUUUACAGAUCUACAUUAUAUAUAUGAGGCUGAGAUGAAACAUGCACAAGACAGCUCACACAAAGAGAAAGUUCUACAAGUAAAGUGAAGAUGUACAGUAAAAAGUAAGACCUAAAAUUAACCAAAGGACAAUAGACCUACUCUCACCAUGUUUCUAGCUACUUCCAAUAUUCUUUUUUUUUUUUUUUGUUACACUACUUCCAAUAUUCUUUGUAAACGAAUGCCCUAAAUUAUUCCGUUUGGUUUAGAAAUCCAAGUGUUAAUUAAAUAAAAGAAAUACAUUUUUUAUUUAAUAAAUUG
RNAcentral lists this long non-coding RNA (36628 nucleotides) under Fragaria vesca (wild strawberry). RNAcentral describes it as "long non-coding RNA (FVES_LNC001499)". Lineage: Eukaryota; Viridiplantae; Streptophyta; Magnoliopsida; Rosales; Rosaceae. The record is from RNAcentral.